UUCCAGGCCAGUCUGGGUUCCAGAGAAAGAGUUUUGUCUUCAGAAGCAAAAGAGGUGAGAGAGUGGUCUGUUAGAAUAGCUUAGUCAGUAAACUAACAAACAAACAAAAACAACCUAGUAUAGUAGUGCAAACUUGUAAUCCCAGCACUGGAUCUGGAACUAGCCUACCCUACUUGAUGAGUUCCAGCCAUGAGAGGCCCUUUCUCAGAAAAGAAAAAAGUGGGUGGAGUCAAGGAACAACACCCAGAAUUGUUCUCUGGCCUCCCCAGAUAUGAACAUACACAACAUAAAUUCAGACACAGAGAGGGAGAGGAGGAGAGAAGAGGGGGAGUGUCUAGAGACAUGUCUCUGCCCAGCGCUACCAAAAAGUCUUCUGUGCCCAACUCCCUCUUAGGUACAGCUCCUUUUUGACAAUGAGGUUCUCCCUGAUCACAUGACAAUGAAGCAGCUAUGGCUUUCCCGCUGGUUCGGCAAGCCAUCUCCUUUGCUUCUACAAUACAGUGUGAAAGAGAAGAGGAGGUAGGGGCCAGGCUUGCUUCCACCCCCUUCCCACCCCUCCCAGAUAUUUAUGUGAAAUUAACUGCGGUUUUAUUUUUUGAAAUAAAUGCUUUUAAAAAGC
RNAcentral lists this long non-coding RNA (619 nucleotides) under Rattus norvegicus (Norway rat). RNAcentral's name for it is "long non-coding RNA NONRATT020608". Lineage: Eukaryota; Metazoa; Chordata; Mammalia; Rodentia; Muridae. The record is from RNAcentral.